GAAAAGAUGAAUAUAAUCUCAAUGGGGAUGGAGAAUGUACCCCCAGGAAGCCUUCCUGCCUCUUGACCCACCGUCAAUGAACUUUGGGCAGACAGCAGUGUCUCUACACCCCAGCAGGAGAAAGAAAUUUGGUCUGGGCUUACUUUUCAAAUAAUACAUUUCAAAGGUUUACUGGGCUAUAAAAACAGGGGUUCUGAAUCUCUAAUGAUAAGCAAUUGAAUCACCUGAUUAUAUACAAUAUUACUGUAUUAUCAAACUGUAUCAAGCAAACUCUUUUAUGAAAGCCUGUGACACACUGGUGAUUAAUAUCAUUGUGAAAUGUCUGCAUUAACACUACGUGAGGAAUUAUGGAUACGCAGUGAUAUUAUGCUUUGAAGUCUGUGACCAAACACACGGAGAAAGAGGUACUCUCUCAGUCAGGAAGGAAAGCAACUAACAACCGGUCUGAAAUAUAAAUUAAACAUUCCUGAAUCAAAACAAUAGAAGCCCAUUUACAUACAAAUCAGUAAGGGAUGGGAAGUCAACAGGAAGGGAAUAACAGCAGGAAGCCUUCCUGACUCCUAUAACAUGGUUAAUGAAAUUUGGGAAAUAUGAGCAGAAACAGAAAGCUAUUUUGGGACCCACAACAUGGGGGAUCAAGCGGCCAGAGCUCUUGAUUUCAAGGGAGUUGAAGUCUCUGGAAACUAAAUACAGGUGUGUGGAUGCCCAGAGAUUGCAAUGUCGCCCUCAAGUCCUUAAGAGUGUGCAACGACUCAUCUGUUUUGUCCAUAAAAAGUUUGGAUCCCUUGAACGGUAAAGCAGAUGAUCCAGAAUAAACUGAAUAUGAGCCCAUGAAGGAGAACCUCAGCCCACAGCAAACUUCUUCCACUUCAAAAGGCCCAACGAAUGGAAAAGUGAUUGGAUCUUUUCAACACCUUCCUUCGCCUGCUGUCUGGACUCACCAGGAACCACCAAUUGUCUGGGUCUGGAUGUACCUGGACUCCCUGCUUUCAAGGUGUGUUGCCACCACUGCCACGUACUUCAUAAAAACUCAGGGCGCUGAGCUCAGACCGAAUGGAAGGGCCAGGAACUGAUAAUGGACACCUGCUACAACGGACCUUUCAAACUCCCUCUGACUCUUGGGUAUGGCCACACGAAGUAUAAUGAGGAUAGUGAACCAAUCGCUGUGAGACAAGGAAGAAACAGACACUUGGGUUACCAUACAAAACUAUCAUUUUUAUGUACCUGUUGAGGCUGAGAUCUAAAGUAAGCCUGAGGCUUCCCUGGGACUUUGGAAUGAAAAAAUAUCAGGAAUAGGAUCCCUUCCUCCGCUACUGAGGAAGCACUUCCUCUAUGGUCCCUAACUUUACCAGAGACUGAACUUCUUGAAUCAAUACACUGGUGCGUUCCCUGAAAAGAGAUGGGGAGUCCGGGUGGGGUGGGGGAAUACGGGUGAAUUGCAGGGUAUAUCCCAGUUACACCAUGGUCAGAACCUACCAAUCUGUUGUAAUAUGGGUCCAAGCCUUCAGGAAAUGGGACAACCUGCAGCCAAAGGGAGAAAAAAUCUCGGGCUACAUGUGCACGAGCACUUUUGUCAGUAUAACAUACGUCACUCAAGGGUGUGAAAAACACUCUCCUGCCAACAUAGCUACCGCCGCUCGUUGGGGGUGGUUUAAUUAUGUCAACAGGAGAACUCUCUCCCGUCAGCAUAGAGUGGCUACAUGAGUGAUCUUACCAAGGCACAGCUGCACUGGUACACUGUGCUGCUGAAAACUUGCUAGUGUAGACAUGGCCUCAGAAUAGUUUGUUGCCCUCAACCAAGAAGUCAAAUAGUCUGGUUGGAAGUAGAAGACCCUCUACUGGUAGCAGAUGGCAGAAGAGGAGAGGGAGGUGGUCUCUUCUUCUGAGACCUAUGACAUCUCCUGGAGUGAUCGGGCUGUCAGAGCAAAUAAAAUGGAUAUCUCUCUUGGACCAGAGGAUGAAACUUCUUUCUCUGUAUACCUGGGGUACAAAUACCUAAAGACUUCACCUGGAAUCUUUAAGAAAGUACAAAGCCUUGACUGCCUUGCCCAGAAAAAAAAAAAAAAAUUGGGCCCUGACAGGGCAAGGUCUCUAUUGUCUGUUGCAUUUCCACUGCUAUUCCCGACACCUGCCGCCAUAAAGCAUGAUGCCCAGUGACAGCUGUUGUCAUCACUUGAGCCAGUAAAUUGGUCUCAUCCAAAGCCCCCUGCAGAGAGGAGUGGGCUACCAAAUGGCCCUAUUUAUAAAGGCUAUAAACUCAUCUGGUAACUUGUCUUGAAACUUAGACAUUACAUCCCAAUUUGAAUGUUUGUGCCUGGCAAGCAACACUUGGUGGGCUGCUAUUCUAAACUGUAAUGCCCAAAGAAGAAUAAACUUUUCUCCAAAAGAAUUACAGGUUUUUUUGCAUCCUUAUCUUUGGGAGUAGAUUUAAUCCAUCCUUGUCUUGACUUCUCAUUCAUAAGAAUGUAAGAAUGGCCAUACUGAGUCAGCCCAGUGGCCCAUCUAGCCCAGUAUCCUACCUUCCGACAGUGUCUGGUGCCAGAUGCUUUCAGAAGGACUGAACAAAACAGGGCAAUUCAUUGAGUGAUCCAUCCCCUUUCAUCCAGUCCCAGCUUGUAGUAGUCAGAGGUUUAGGGACACCCUGAGCAUGGCCCAUUCACAACUGCCACCAGUAAUGCUCCAAGGGAAAAUAAAAAAAAAUUCCUGUAACUGUAAAGAUACUUGAUACCUUUUUUCUGUACAUUUAGCCAUAAUAAAGAAGAGGGAGGUCUGCAAAUGGAUUUUGGUUGGGUCCUAAAUCAUAUCAUUAAUAAGCAGGGCCACCUCAGCAGGGCCUGAUGAAUGCAAGAUAUCCAUGAGCUUGUGAGAGUUAUCUUGAACGAGCACUAGAUACCUAGAGAGGUAGCAACCCUCUUUGUAUGUCUUGUAGACAUCAGAGACUGCAGAUGACUGAUACAAUAGCCUCCUUGGGUGAUGAGGAGGCGUUAAGCAGUGGCACUGACAAGUCCAUCUGCUCCAGUGGUACAGAAGCCACCAUAAUAGGAUGAAUAAGAGUUGGAUGGACAAUCUGUACUGGUUACUGGGUACUGAGGUUAAAACUGGGAGGAAAAUGUUGUCUCAAUAGUGAUAUUGAGGCCUACUGCCAAGAAGAAGAGACCCUAGAGUCUGGGGAAACUCCCCCCAGGUUCCAGAAAGGCAUUGCUGCAUCUGGAGCCUAACUUCACGGCACAGUAGUCAUGGUAAUCAGAGCUGGGUCUGUGUACCAAGGAUCAUGGAGAUACUUGGGCCUUUCUGAAGUAGGACUCAGAUCUGUAGGAAUCCACCUCUGAAUUAGAUGAUGAAUCAACAUUGGAGUGCAAGAUGGCAUGGUGUGGAGAGGCAGGCAAAUGGGAAUGGGACCAAAGUCACCAAGGAUGGUACUGACAAAAGCAUUCAGGAUUUCCCUGAGGAAGGUACUGUACACUUGGCAUGGUGUGACAGAGUCCACUGCCAGUGGUAUUGGAUAUACCAGUACUAAAGUAGUUGACAGAGGUGGCACAUGCCACUGCAGAAGAUACAGAUUCCUACUGCAACUGAGGAGAGUCCAGUAUCAACAGGCACAAAAGGUCUCUUCUGUCCCAUACAACUCAGGUGUUGUCCAUACCGAUCAGGUAGUCUGUGAUAUAAAAACCAGCGCAGAAGGACCAGCAAUAGAGUCAAUUUCAACAGUGCCCUGUGAGGUGCCAGAGUCAAAAACUGAACAUUUCUAGAGUGCAGUACCACAGACCACCCUGCCAGGGUUGCUCCCACCUUGGUACGUAUCUGCUUGUAGAGAGUCUGAUUGGGAUCUAGACUUCAAAGGCGAUGACUUCUUCUGGUUGGAAGCAGUUGAUGUACUGAACUUCUUCUGGUGCUUACAAGGCACCGGGGACAGAAAAUUGUGCCUUCUCUCUCGAUCACUUUGGCACAGAGAAGCUACUCAGUCCAGUGGCGCACUCUAGGAUGGCACCAAAUCUGAAUCCUCACACAUCAAAUGCAAAGCAGCCUCCAUGAGACUAUGCUGAAGCUGCAACUUCCUUCAGCUUUUUAGUAUGGGUCUUAACCCCUCUGCAAAUAGGGCACUUAUUCCUAACAGAUCCCUCACCCAGAAACUUCAAGCAGCUGCAGUGGCGACUGCUGACUGGCACUGACCUAUUGCAUUCAUUCAGAACACCUGAAGCCUGGAGACUUGGCAUACCCUAGUGCUGAAACAAAGAUCAAGGGAAACAAAGAAUGAUAAGCUGAACGGAAACUUAUAACAAGUACUUCAAAUAGAACUAGAAAAAACUUUUUUACUAAAUAUUUACAUUAAAAACAUUUAGAGUUUUCUAAGGUACAAAGUGAGAAACUCGCAUGCUUGCUCCAACUACUGACCACAGACAGCAGGAGAAAUUGAGGGGGGUCGGAGAAGCGCUGCCCCUUUAUACUCUCAUGUAGCAGCACGAACAUGCAGAGGGCACAUGUACCACCCCGAUGGGUACCACUCUGGGAAAAAGUUCUCUGGCUUAAGUACAUUGGAGCACAGACCCCUAAAGUGGAAUGGACAUAUGCAAGCACUCAAAGAAGAAUUGUUAUUCUAACAUUUUAUUCAACUAUCAUCUUCAACCUAGCAUAAUUUUACUUUGCAAUGAUACCACACAAAGAAUUUUAUA
Chelonia mydas (Green sea turtle) is the source of this 4670-nucleotide long non-coding RNA. RefSeq lists it as uncharacterized. The transcript has 4 exons. Lineage: Eukaryota; Metazoa; Chordata; Testudines; Cheloniidae. The record is from RefSeq and is a predicted model, not a curated record.